UUUAACUGAAGAGUUUGAUCAUGGCUCAGAUUGAACGCUGGCGGCAGGCUUAACACAUGCAAGUCGAGCGGAGAGAG
This 77-nucleotide ribosomal RNA is filed under the name Acinetobacter seifertii. RNAcentral describes it as "partial 16S ribosomal RNA". It matches the Rfam family "Bacterial small subunit ribosomal RNA", at positions 1 to 75 of the family's 1533-position model. Lineage: Bacteria; Pseudomonadati; Pseudomonadota; Gammaproteobacteria; Moraxellales; Moraxellaceae. The record is from RNAcentral.